GGGCCUGUAGCUCAGUUGGCUAGAGCGCACCGCUGAUAACGGUGAGGUCGGCAGUUCGAGUCUGCCCAGGCCCA
Molecule: transfer RNA, 74 nt
Filed under: Symbiodinium sp. CCMP2592
Lineage: Eukaryota; Dinophyceae; Suessiales; Symbiodiniaceae
Also listed under: 2 other names
Rfam family: tRNA
About the family: Transfer RNA (tRNA) molecules are approximately 80 nucleotides in length. Their secondary structure includes four short double-helical elements and three loops (D, anti-codon, and T loops).
Source: Rfam by way of RNAcentral